Gossypium arboreum is the source of this 138-nucleotide microRNA precursor. It matches the Rfam family "MIR7502 microRNA precursor family". Lineage: Eukaryota; Viridiplantae; Streptophyta; Magnoliopsida; Malvales; Malvaceae. The record is from Rfam.
UGUUAAAAAUUCCAUGUGUUUUUUCUGUUAAAAACAAGCAUGGUUGACAAAAUAACCAAAUAGUGCCACAUGUAUCUUAUGCUGAUGUAUAGGAAUCAAUUUUUAACAGUAAAAAUAGAUGGAAUAAAAUUUUUAAUA